CCUUCUUCCCCCAGCUUUUGGUUGGCUUUGCUCACCCACCAACAGCUAGGAGCUGGAAGGCUCAGAAGAGCUGGGGCGGGCGUGGAGAGACAGAGGAACCCCGGUGGCUGGAACACAGUUCCUUCCCAGGGUCUCUUCAGCUUGCUGGUUGGACCUCUCAGCCGGCUUAUGAAGCCUGAAUUGACAUCAUGCCAACUGGUCUCCUGCUGAUAAGUGAUUCCUUAACUUCCUCUGGAGCAGCAGAAACUUGUUUUGAAAAAAAUCAGAUUCUAAAAUCUUUACAGCUGUUUACUUCUGCAAGCACAAUGGCCGUAGUAAGGAAUUCAAGUCACAGCGCAGCCGUGGCAGGGAAGGCUCUGCAUGGAGUCACAGGACAAAGCCUGUCCUGGAAACGUGCCGGAAGGAAGUCGGCCUCAUUCUUUACGACGGGCAGCAGCUCCAAAUGAGAAACCAGGGGGCUUGGCUCUGGACACAGAAUGUUCAGCUUAACAAAGAAAUGACACUUGCCAGCAACCGGAGCCUAGCAGAAGGAAACCUUCGGUACCAGCCCCAGCUGGACACGUUGAAGGCACGCUUGACCCAGAAAUACCAGGAACUCCAGGUUCUCUUUGAAGCCUAUCAGAUAAAGAAGACCAAAUUAGGUAACUUUUUAAGGGUGAUCAUUCGAGAAUAAAGAGAGAAGGACACAUUUUCAAGCUAUUGCCCUACCAGGAAAGAAAUAUUAUGGAAAAAUUUCAGGUUAAGAUAGCAACUCUACUGCAGUGAAGAAAUAGCUUAUAUAUAUUAUUUAUUUAUUUUUAGAGACGAGGUCUUGCUCUGUCUCUCAGACUGGAGUGCAGUGGCGCAACCAUGGCUCAGCGCAACCUCCUGGGCUCAGGUGAUCCUCCUGCCUCAGCCUCCUGAGUAGCUGGGACCACAGGUGUGCACUACCCCAAGCAGGCUAGUUUUUCAUUUUUUUGUAGAGAGGUUGUCUUGCUAUGUUGCCCAGGCUGGUCUUGAACUCAAGCCAUCCUCCUGCCUUUGCCUCACAAAGUGCUGCUAUUACAGACGUGAGCCACUGUAUUGGACUAGUUUAUGUAUGGAAUAUGGAGGGCCCCCAGACCUGCAGCCUCUCUGCACUUGCGGUUCAAGAGGGCAGGGUGUAUAGCAGGACUGCCCCCUCCUCCCAGUGGCCCUGACUGGUGGCAGUGACUGCUGAGGUCAGCCCAGGUCCACACGCACCUCCAGGGUCUGCAGCGUGAAGCAGGUGGCAGAAACGUGGGUACCUUGGGGCAGUUACCGGAAAAGGGGCUGGAGAUGAGGAGGAAGCCAGCCAGUUUAGCAGUCACCAGUUUAGAAGAGGAGACUUAACCACUUUUUAAAUUCAAGACCCUACCUUCUCUAAACAGCAUAGAAAAAGCUUUCUGAAUUAUGAUAUUAAACAGAUGUCUUAUGCCGUUUGCCCGUUUGUUUUAU
This 1455-nucleotide small RNA is filed under the name Pongo abelii (Sumatran orangutan). Its description in RNAcentral is "retained intron". The record is from RNAcentral. Lineage: Eukaryota; Metazoa; Chordata; Mammalia; Primates; Hominidae.